GUGCCAGCAGCCGCGGUAAUACAGAGGUGGCAAACGUUGUCCGGAUUUAUUGGGUGUAAAGGGCAUGUAGGUGGUCUUGUAAGUCAAAGGUGAAAUGGCCCGGCUCAACCAGGUCAUUGCCUUUGAAACUGCCGGACUCGAGUACGGAAGAGGAGAGCGGAAUUCCCAGUGUAGCGGUGAAAUGCGUAGAUAUUGGGAGGAACACCGGUGGCGAAGGCGGCUCUCUGGUCCGAAACUGACACUGAGAUGCGAAAGCCAGGGGAGCAAACGGGAUUAGAAACCCUAGUAGUCC
This 292-nucleotide ribosomal RNA is filed under the name uncultured bacterium. RNAcentral's name for it is "partial 16S ribosomal RNA". It matches the Rfam family "Bacterial small subunit ribosomal RNA", at positions 505 to 796 of the family's 1533-position model. The record is from RNAcentral.